CCUUUGUACACACCGCCCGUCGCUACUACCGAUUGAAUGGCUUAGUGAGGCCUCCGGAUUGGCUUAAGAAAGGGGGCAACCUCAUUCUGGAGCUGAAAAGCUGGUCAAACUUGGUCAUUUAGAGGAAGUAAAAGUCGUAACAAGGUUUCCGUAGGUGAACCUGCGGAAGGAUCAUUAAAGUUUGCUUAAUUGCAUUACACAUGUUUUUUUAGAGAACUUGCUUGCAAGAACACUAAUAAUUUACUUAGUCAACAAAUAAAAAUAUCAAAACUUUCAACAACGGAUCUCUUGGUUCUCGCAUCGAUGAAGAACGCAGCGAAAUGCGAUACGUAAUAUGAAUUGCAGAUUUUCGUGAAUCAUCGAAUCUUUGAACGCACAUUGCGCCCUGUGGUAUUCCACAGGGCAUGCCUGUUUGAGCGUCAUUUCUCCCUCAAACCUCUGGUUUGGCGUUGAGUGAUACUCGGUUUACUUGAAAAACAUGAAAAGCAUAACUAUUAGGUUUUACCAACUCGUUAUACUAAUCUACAAGUUGACCUCAAAUCAGGUAGACAGUUUCCACAGGGCAUGCCUGUUUGAGCGUCAUUUCUCCCUCAAACCUCUGGUUUGGCGUUGAGUGAUACUCGGUUUACUUGAAAAACAUGAAAAGCAUAACUAUUAGGUUUUACCAACUCGUUAUACUAAUCUACAAGUUUGACCUCAAAUCAGGUAGGACUACCCGCUGAACUUAAGCAUAUCAAUAAGCGGAGGAAAAGAAACCAACCGGGAUUGCCUCAGUAACGGCGAGUGAAGCGGCAAAAGCUCAAAUUUGAAAUCUGCGUAAGCCGAGUUGUAAUUUGAAGAUGGCUACUUUGGUAAUGGCUCUUGUCUAUGUUCCUUGGAACAGGACGUCACAGAGGGUGAGAAUCCCGUGCGAUGAGAUGUCCAUUACCGUGUAAAGUGCUUUCGAAGAGUCGAGUUGUUUGGGAAUGCAGCUCUAAGUGGGUGGUAAAUUCCAUCUAAAGCUAAAUAUUGGCGAGAGACCGAUAGCGAACAAGUACAGUGAUGGAAAGAUGAAAAGAACUUUGAAAAGAGAGUGAAAAAGUACGUGAAAUUGUUGAAAGGGAAGGGCUUGAGAUCAGACUUGGUAUUUUGUAUGGCUUGCUUUCGGGCGGGUCCUCUGCAGUUUACUGGGCCAGCAUCGGUUUGGGUGGCAGGAUAAUAGCAUAGGAAUGUGGCUCUACUUCGGUGGAGUGUUAUAGCCUUUGUUGAUACUGCCUGCCUAGACCGAGGACUGCGUCUUUUGACUAGGAUGCUGGCAUAAUGAUCCUAAGCCGCCCGUCUUGAAA
This 1325-nucleotide ribosomal RNA is filed under the name Fermentozyma sake. RNAcentral describes it as "LSU rRNA". The stretch from base 692 to 1325 matches the Rfam family "Eukaryotic large subunit ribosomal RNA", at positions 1 to 659 of the family's 3401-position model. Lineage: Eukaryota; Fungi; Ascomycota; Pichiomycetes; Serinales; Debaryomycetaceae. The record is from RNAcentral.